UACGGAGGGGACUAGCGUUGUUCGGAAUUACUGGGCGUAAAGCGUGCGCAGGCGGUUGUGCAAGACAGGUGUGAAAUCCCCGGGCUUAACCUGGGAACUGCACUUGUGACUGCAUAGCUGGAGUACGGCAGAGGGGGAUGGAAUUCCGCGUGUAGCAGUGAAAUGCGUAGAUAUGCGGAGGAACACCGAUGGCGAAGGCAGUCCCCUGGGCCUGUACUGACGCUCAUGCACGAAAGCGUGGGGAGCAAACAGG
Molecule: ribosomal RNA, 253 nt
Filed under: uncultured bacterium
Lineage: Bacteria
Description: partial 16S ribosomal RNA
Rfam family: Bacterial small subunit ribosomal RNA
Source: RNAcentral